AAAUUAAUAAAAUAUUUGCCAAACUAUUUCUAUAUUUAAUCGCAUAAAAUCUAAUACCAAAUACAAUUUAUUUCUGAAUAAAUUGGUAUGUAAAAUAACUUUGUAUAAUUCUUAAACAGUAUUAACUGUUUUUGCAAAAUAUUAAAAUAACAAUAUACCAAUGUUGCUUAGCAACAAACAUGUACUUCGGUCACGAGUUCCG
RNAcentral lists this long non-coding RNA (202 nucleotides) under Mytilus galloprovincialis (Mediterranean mussel). Lineage: Eukaryota; Metazoa; Mollusca; Bivalvia; Mytilida; Mytilidae. The record is from RNAcentral.